GGCUCAUCCUGCGUUAAAAGACAGGACAGGGGAUUCCAAACCAAAACAUGUGCCCAGUUCUGACCAGUGCCUCUGUGCUGCUCUGGAAGAGGAUGGGUGUGGGGAGAGUGAAACGAGAGAGAAAGCGGAUGUAUCACACCGAGUCAGGGAGGUGAAGACAGCUCCUUCAGCCACGAGGAUAUUCUCCCACCUUGGUGCAAGACAGCAAAGUCCAGACAGGAUCUGAGCCCGGGCCAGCAGGAAUCUUUCACUGGCUGCUGCCUUUGUGCUUUGGAGCCCUGCAGAAGGUGAACGUGUGUCUGCAUCACGUGAGGGCUGGAGUGAUGGGCUGAUGCCUAAGAAGCUGAGCUACGUUUCAGAAAGGAGGGCCUGCUGGUGAGAAGAUGACUUUAUCCAGGAACUCUCCACUGCUGAAGGAGCUGAAGGCCAAAGACUCUCAUCUGUCCCCAAAAAGCAGGAAGCACAGCCAUGGAUGAGAAAUGACCCAGCUAUCUGGAGCAGAAAUGGAAGCACCUCAGGAAACAUCUGUAGAGGCCUCCAGGACUGUAGGCACCAAGGGAAAUUCUGGAGGAGGCUCCAAAGUCCUGCACACAGCAGACAACCCUCAAAGUAUGGAAAAAAAGCCACCUUCUUGUGCCAAACCAAGCUGGGCUGGAUGGCCCCAUCCACGCUCCGUGGAACAGCCCUGGUCCAAUCCUGAUUCCUCAGAGGGGUUGGCACUGGCAGCUGGAUUAUCGUGGUGCCUUGAGAAAGAACUUCUGCACAGCAUUUUUCAUGUAGGCAAAAGCUGUUAGUGCUGAAAACCUUCCCAAAAAAGGAUUCCCCUGAGCUGGUGAAAUGCCUGACCUGAAGGUUGGCUGAGAAAUGGUUGCUUUAAAGAUCAGUAAUAUUUAUGAACAAAGUCCUGCUGACCUUGGGUUUGCUCCUGCACGGUCGUGUUGGAGCACACCGUGACUGCCGCCUUGACGUUCUGCCGAGCUGACAUCCCAACCGGUGUGACACUGAUGCCUUUGGGCAGAAAUCAGAGCCGGUUUGCUGCAUGGCUCUGUGCAGCCACGGUGCCUGUAGCGCCUCGGAGAGCCCCCAGUGCCCUGCUGGGGAAAUGGAGCGAGCACGUGGGCCCCAGAUGAACCCGGAGCGGAGCGCGGGCGUUAUCCGCAGCCGUCCCGCUGCCCGUUCCCGGUUUUAAAUGUCCACAUUGACAUGGGUUUAUCUCUUUUUUUUUUUCCCCCCUCUCCCUUUCCUCUCCCUUUUUGCCUUGCCUGCGAGAGGGUUGGUUUCCUGUUUCUCCCCCCGGCUGCAGAGUCCUUGGGGACCUGGGUUUCCGUGAGCUGGAAAAGGAGCGCGCAAGCGUCUGAUCAGCCCUUAUUAGUGUUGAGAAAGACCUAAUGGUUCCUGGCUUCUGGGACCAUUACCUGUCAUUUACUUUUAUUAAGUCGGUGAUGAGAAAGUUUAAAAUUAAAGGCUUUGUAAAUUGGAUUCCAGUUCUAAAGGGAGGCACCGACCAGGAAUUCAGUGCCAGAGCCUGCAGAUGGGCUGCUGGGAACAACACUGGGCUGGGGCGUUUGUGUUCAGCUGCUUUGGCAAAGGUCCUGUGCCAGGGCAUGGAGGGGAGGUAGUUUGGGCAAAGCCCUGGGGUAUCUAUCAGCUAUAUGAACCAUGUAAUCCUUCCUUUGCCAGGCUACUCGUGUCCAGACCUCCAGCUCCUGGUCAGGAGGAAGGGUGGUCUUCUGGUCGAGCCAUUACCCAGCCUGUGACUUCUGUUCCAGCUGAAAUGA
This is a long non-coding RNA of Pipra filicauda (Wire-tailed manakin), 1778 nucleotides long. RefSeq lists it as uncharacterized. The record is from RefSeq and is a predicted model, not a curated record. NCBI's taxonomy places the organism in Eukaryota, Metazoa, Chordata, Aves, Passeriformes, Pipridae. The transcript has 9 exons.